AGUGAACGUUGGCGGCGUGGAUUAGGCAUGCAAGUCGAGCGAGAACCGUAGCAAUACGGGGACAGCGGCGAAAGGGACAGUAAUGUGUAGGUACCUACCCCCGGGUUCGGGAUAGCUGCGGGAAACUGCAGGUAAUACCGAAUAAUGUCUCCGGACCAAAGGUGUGAUUCCACCUGGGGAGGGGCCUGCAUCCUAUUAGCUUGUUGGUGGGGUAACGGCCUACCAAGGCGACGAUGGGUAGCGGGUGUGAGAGCAUGACCCGCGUCAUUGGGACUGAGACACUGCCCAGACACCGACGGGUGGCUGCAGUCGAGAAUCUUCGGCAAUGGGCGCAAGCCUGACCGAGCGACGCCGCGUGCGGGAUGAAGGCCUUCGGGUUGUAAACCGCUGUCGUAGAGGAGGAAAUGCAGGGGGGUUCUCCCCUUUGCUUGACCUAUUCUAGGAGGAAGUACGGGCUAAGUUCGUGCCAGCAGCCGCCGUAA
This 482-nucleotide ribosomal RNA is filed under the name uncultured bacterium. Its description in RNAcentral is "partial 16S ribosomal RNA". It matches the Rfam family "Bacterial small subunit ribosomal RNA", at positions 28 to 523 of the family's 1533-position model. The record is from RNAcentral.